GAUGAUGGACUUUUAAACCUUAGAAGAUAGUAGAAUUCAUUCUCUACGUGACUCUUCUAAUGGAUUGCUGUUUCUGCUGCUGUUGUUGAUCUAAAACUUGUUGUCUAUUAUAUUCCAUUAGAUUUUUCCCUGUUGCAGACUAACGAUAAUAUUUUGUAUAUUAUCUUAGUCAUAAUAUUCUUUAUCGGGCUAGUUGAGCUCACCCUUUUCCUUUUUGUUCCAUUUUUCUUCUCAAGAGGUGAGAACAUAGCAGGAUCUAGUCGGGGUAUGGAGUGAUGGUUCUAGAAAGAUGUUUUAGCAGUCUUCACUAUUUCUGUAAAAUAGUGUAUGAAUAAUUGUAAUGAGGACUUAUUUGAGUGUGGAUAUUGUCUAGAGGAUAAUAUUUGUAUUUAAACUCACAGUUUGUGUUGUCGUAUUUUGCACGACAAUUGUAUUAUUGAUGUUGUAGUUUGCUUUCUGUACCAUGUAUUUGGCGACUCAGAAUGGGUGUUGUAUACCUAUUUUGGGGGCGUCACAAAUAAGUCAAUGUCUAAUAUCCCUGGAGUCAAAUUUAAACGUUGAGCACAAGUAGAAGAAAUAAAAGAGUGGGUUGAAUCGGUAUCGAAUAAGGUAUAGAUUUCGCAAGAGUUUAUGAUUAACUUACUGAUAAGUAGAUUUUAUACCUACUUAUCCGGUAUUUGUUAGUUGAAUUAGUUGCUUAUAUUCAUGUGUCUUAGUUACUUUUCAUACAUUUUGUGUUCAUUUUGUAGGUUAUAUGUUUGGGAAUGGUGUGAGCGACUAUUGGUAAGGAAAAACAAGGAAAAUGUAAAGAAAAGCAAUUCAGACAUCUUUUGGACCAAAAUAUGCAUGUAAAUGCAAGAAGGGAAGAUUGAAUGACUUUUAACACCAAGUUGGAUGCAUGUUCUUGGCUUGGAACUUAGAUUAUACUGUAGAUCUUCUUCUUAGCUUUUCGGAAUAUUUUGAAUCAUCCCAAUCGGAGUUCGGAUGCGAGAGUUAUGGCCUUUUUAUCAACGAAGAUCAAAGCUAAGAGUUCUCAUGUUUGCAAUUUACACAGCAUCUACUUCAAGCUCUAUUUCAAUUUUUUUCCGUCCAGAAUUUCUCAAAUCUUAAAGAAUGAAAGUUGUAGAGCUCGUCGAUAGCUUCGAUUU
This 1148-nucleotide long non-coding RNA is filed under the name Panax ginseng (ginseng). RNAcentral's name for it is "long non-coding RNA (PGIN_LNC014280)". Lineage: Eukaryota; Viridiplantae; Streptophyta; Magnoliopsida; Apiales; Araliaceae. The record is from RNAcentral.